CACGUAGGGCGCAAGCGUUGUCCGGAAUUAUUGGGCGUAAAGAGCUCGUAGGCGGUCUGUUGCGUCCGCUGUGAAAACCCAGGGCUUAACCCUGGGCUGGCAGUGGAUACGGACAGACUAGAGGUAGGUAGGGGAGAAUGGAAUUCCCGGUGUAGUGGUGGAAUGCGUAGAUAUCGGGAGGAACACCAGUGGCGAAGGCGGUUACCUGGAGCUUUGCUGACGCUGAUGCGCGAAAGCGUGGGGAGCGAUCCGG
This 253-nucleotide ribosomal RNA is filed under the name uncultured bacterium. Its description in RNAcentral is "partial 16S ribosomal RNA". It matches the Rfam family "Bacterial small subunit ribosomal RNA", at positions 524 to 776 of the family's 1533-position model. The record is from RNAcentral.